RNAcentral lists this ribosomal RNA (480 nucleotides) under uncultured bacterium. RNAcentral's name for it is "partial 16S ribosomal RNA". It matches the Rfam family "Bacterial small subunit ribosomal RNA", at positions 28 to 523 of the family's 1533-position model. The record is from RNAcentral.
GACGAACGCUGGCGGCGUGCCUAACACAUGCAAGUCGAGCGAAUGAAGUUCCUUCGGGAAUGGAUUUAGCGGCGGACGGGUGAGUAACACGUGUGCAACCUGCCUCAUAGAGGGGAAGAGCCUUCCGAAAGGGAGAUUAAUACCGCAUAAGAUUGUAGUACCGCAUGAUACAGCAAUUAAAGGAGCAAUCCGCUAUGAGAUGGGCCCGCGGCGCAUUAGCUAGUUGGUGAGGUAACGGCUCACCAAGGCGACGAUGCGUAGCCGACCUGAGAGGGUGAUCGGCCACAUUGGGACUGAGACACGGCCCAGACUCCUACGGGAGGCAGCAGUGGGGAAUAUUGCACAAUGGGGGAAACCCUGAUGCAGCAACGCCGCGUGAGUGAUGACGGCCUUCGGGUUGUAAAGCUCUGUCUUCAGGGACGAUAAUGACGGUACCUGAGGAGGAAGCCACGGCUAACUACGUGCCAGCAGCCGCAGUAA